UGGAGACGCCAACGAUGACGACAACGAGGGUGGAGACGUCAACGAUGACGACGACGACAAGAAAAAUAUUUCUCUCUCUUUUCUUCGACCCGAUCAUUGUUAAUCGAGUACCUAAUUGAGAAAAAUUAGCUCAACCGCUAUAAUCUUGCCUGCUCGUAAAACCGAACUGAUAAUACAAGCAGCUUGCCACCGAGACCGUUAAUAAAGUAAAAAUUAUUUCAACCUGUAGAAAAAACGUAUCCAAACUCGUUAGAAAAUUCGUUUCGAAAAUCAAUCAAGAUAUUCACGGAAGUGUCCACGAGUUCGGAAUUAAAUUUCAAUAAGACGAGAAGACCGCUUAGGAAACGUGUCCCUACUCGUUAAAAAUGCUGUGGAAGAGAGAGAAACCGGUGCGACGCGUGUACCCCCCUCUCUCUCUCUCUCUCUCUCACUCCAAACGAAAUGCGAAACCGCGAGACUCCCCGUGUGUGUGUAAACCACAAAAUUCGCGACGGCGUUUCAGCGCGAUAAGAAAACGCCGCAUAAUUAAAUUUCAAUAAGACGAGAAGACCGCUGUAGAAAAAACGUGUCCAGACUCGUUACAAAAUGUUGCGGAAGAGAGAGAGAGAGAGACAGAAAAACCGUUGCGACGCGUCUACCCCUCUCUCUCUCUCACUCCAAAAUUUGCGCUUCGUUCAUAGCGGAUCGAGCGACAGAGAGAAACCGAUGCGUCUACCCCUCUCUCUCUCUCACUCCAAAACAUCUCCUACAAUGUAAAAAUGCAAGCGCGAUAAAAAACGCUGCAUAAUUAAAUUCAAUAAGAUGAGAAGACCGGAAGGUAAGCGACUAUCGAUAACGCGUACGAAAUGCGAAACCGCGAGACACUCCCCUCCCCCCAUCACGGAGCUCGCCGCGGCCCUUCCCCCUCCAUAUCCACCGGCGCUCGCGGCAGCACUUCCGCCCCCAGACCCACCUGCGCUCAAGGCCACACUUCCCCCUCCAUAUCCACCAGCGCUCGCCACGGCUGGAUUCCUCCCUCUUGCCCCGCGGUUCGACUUACCCCUCGAGCACCAUGGCUUAGAACGUUAUUACUAUACCUACUAAUAAGUAUUGUCUAAAGCAUGUCGUGUUUGGUAUCAUUUUAAUUGGGAUCGUUUGACAAUGGUUUUCAUAAAUGAACUAGUGAAAUUAAUUUCUUGAUCGAUGAGUAUGGCUUUUGGACUGAAUUUGGAAAUGAGAUUUUCUACGAGUGCGUUUGUCGUUUCGAUCGCUCCGGUAGUGUGGAGGGGUGCCGCUAUUGAACACUUUGUUAGCAAACCUGCAUAGUCAGGAUAUAUUCGAACCUUUCGGUGGUGGGGGAAAGAGAGUCGACAACGUCUAGGGAAACUGUAUCAAACGCACGUCCUGGCGUGUCAGUUCGAGUCAUAGGCAAUUUUGUCUUCACUCGUAUUAGUUUGUUUCGUUGACAAUCCAGGCAACUGUUCACGAACUUCGUAACAUUUACAUUUAGCGUAGGCCAGUAAUACUUUUCCCGAACUUUUUUGUACGUUAUAUAGGUACCUUUCUGUUCUGCGUACACAGACACGAGAUUUUCUGAUAGGACGGUCAUGCGACGGUCCUUUGCUGGGAGUUGGAAUUCGCCGGAACAGAUGAAUAUCUGGAGAUCUGUUCCAUAUCAUUGCGAAUUUAGUAUCGGCCGGAUAGAGCGGCUCGGAAUUUCUUUACCCGCGAAUUUUAUCGCUCGAAAUUCAUUUUCAUGGUCGACGGCCAGACCGUGGCGAUAUUCGAUCUGGGAGGACCCUCUGGUACCGUUUCAUACCUUCGGAAGAUUACUCUUGGGUAUCGGAAUAGCAACUGUCACCGUCUGCGCGCGUAUUUCGCUUCGAUUACACUGUUCGACAAACUUUUUUUCUGAUUUCUUAUAGCCACUAUAAAAUUAAAAAAAAACUACUUUCAUUA
Non-coding RNA from Megalopta genalis, 1938 nucleotides. The record is from RefSeq and is a predicted model, not a curated record. NCBI's taxonomy places the organism in Eukaryota, Metazoa, Arthropoda, Insecta, Hymenoptera, Halictidae.